UGUAUGAGCUGUUUCGGAUAUUUCGUCUCCUAGAUCCUGGCCUGGCUUAUUUCGUUUCGGCGCUGCUGAGACCUCCUUUCGCGGAAUAUUACUCAAUAUCGACAGUGUGCGAAGAACGCGAGUUCACCUUCUUGACGAAAAUCGUGGACUAACAGUUCGAAGUCAUUGAACUACUUCCAAAAGUUGUAUCGACAUCAACAGGGUUACGAUUUCAGUGCAAUAUGGUGCAGGAUGACC
Molecule: long non-coding RNA, 237 nt
Organism: Sycon ciliatum
Lineage: Eukaryota; Metazoa; Porifera; Calcarea; Leucosolenida; Sycettidae
Exons: 3
Source: RefSeq, a predicted model, not a curated record